RNAcentral lists this ribosomal RNA (449 nucleotides) under uncultured bacterium. RNAcentral describes it as "partial 16S ribosomal RNA". It matches the Rfam family "Bacterial small subunit ribosomal RNA", at positions 28 to 523 of the family's 1533-position model. The record is from RNAcentral.
GAUGAACGCUGGCGGCAGGCUUAAUACAUGCAAGUCGAACGCCCCUUUCGGGGGGAGUGGCAGACGGGUGAGUAAUGCGUGGGAACGUGCCCAAAGGUAGGGAACAACUCCGGGAAACUGGAGCUAAUACCCUAUGUGCCCGAGAGGGGAAAGAUUUAUCGCCUUUGGAUCGGCCCGCGUUGGAUUAGCUAGUUGGUGGGGUAAAAGCCUACCAAGGCGACGAUCCAUAGCUGUUCUGAGAGGAAGAUCAGCCACACUGGGACUGAGACACGGCCCAGACUCCUCCGGGAGGCAGCAGUAGGGAAUCUUGGACAAUGGGCGCAAGCCUGAUCCAGCCAUGCCGCGUGAGUGAUGAAGGCCUUAGGGUUGUAAAACUCUUUCGCAGGUGACGAUAAUGACGGUAACCUGAGAAGAAGCCCCGGCUAACUUCGUGCCAGCAGCCGCCGUAA